This 254-nucleotide ribosomal RNA is filed under the name uncultured bacterium. RNAcentral's name for it is "partial 16S ribosomal RNA". It matches the Rfam family "Bacterial small subunit ribosomal RNA", at positions 524 to 776 of the family's 1533-position model. The record is from RNAcentral.
UACGUAGGGACCAAGCGUUGUUCGGAUUUACUGGGCGUAAAGGGUGCGUAGGCGGGUCUUUAAGUCAGGGGUGAAAUCCUGGAGCUCAACUCCAGAACUGCCUUUGAUACUGAGGAUCUUGAGUUCGGGAGAGGUGAGUGGAACUGCGAGUGUAGAGGUGAAAUUCGUAGAUAUUCGCAAGAACACCAGUGGCGAAGGCGGCUCACUGGCCCGAUACUGACGCUGAGGCACGAAAGCGUGGGGGAGCAAACAGG